GACGAACGCUUGCGGCGUGCUUAACACAUGCAAGUCGAACGGAAAGGCCCUGCUUUUGUGGGGUGCUCGAGUGGCGAACGGGUGAGUAACACGUGAGUAACCUGCCCUUGACUUUGGGAUAACUUCAGGAAACUGGGGCUAAUACCGGAUAGGAGCUCCUGCUGCAUGGUGGGGGUUGGAAAGUUUCGGCGGUUGGGGAUGGACUCGCGGCUUAUCAGCUUGUUGGUGGGGUAGUGGCUUACCAAGGCUUUGACGGGUAGCCGGCCUGAGAGGGUGACCGGCCACAUUGGGACUGAGAUACGGCCCAGACUCCUACGGGAGGCAGCAGUGGGGAAUAUUGCACAAUGGGCGGAAGCCUGAUGCAGCAACGCCGCAUGCGGGAUGACGGCCUUCGGGUUGUAAACCGCUUUCGCCUGUGACGAAGCGUGAGUGACGGUAAUGGGUAAAGAAGCACCGGCUAACUACGUGCCAGCAGCCGCGGUGAUACGUAGGGUGCGAGCGUUGUCCGGAUUUAUUGGGCGUAAAGGGCUCGUAGGUGGUUGAUCGCGUCGGAAGUGUAAUCUUGGGGCUUAACCCUGAGCGUGCUUUCGAUACGGGUUGACUUGAGGAAGGUAGGGGAGAAUGGAAUUCCUGGUGGAGCGGUGGAAUGCGCAGAUAUCAGGAGGAACACCAGUGGCGAAGGCGGUUCUCUGGGCCUUUCCUGACGCUGAGGAGCGAAAGCGUGGGGAGCGAACAGGCUUAGAUACCCUGGUAGUCCACGCUGUAAACGGUGGGUACUAGGUGUGGGGUCCAUUCCACGGGUUCCGUGCCGUAGCUAACGCUUUAAGUACCCCGCCUGGGGAGUACGGCCGCAAGGCUAAAACUCAAAGGAAUUGACGGGGCCCCGCACAAGCGGCGGAGCAUGCGGAUUAAUUCGAUGCAACGCGUAGAACCUUACCUGGGUUUGACAUGGAUCGGGAGUGCUCAGAGAUGGGUGUGCCUCUUUUGGGGUCGGUUCACAGGUGGUGCAUGGCUGUCGUCAGCUCGUGUCGUGAGAUGUUGGGUUAAGUCCCGCAACGAGCGCAACCCUUGUUCACUGUUGCCAGCACGUUAUGGUGGGGACUCAGUGGAGACCGCCGGGGUCAACUCGGAGGAAGGUGGGGAUGACGUCAAGUCAUCAUGCCCCUUAUGUCCAGGGCUUCACGCAUGCUACAAUGGCUGGUACAGAGAGUGGCGAGCCUGUGAGGGUGAGCGAAUCUCGGAAAGCCGGUCUCAGUUCGGAUUGGGGUCUGCAACUCGACCUCAUGAAGUCGGAGUCGCUAGUAAUCGCAGAUCAGCAACGCUGCGGUGAAUACGUUCCCGGG
This 1343-nucleotide ribosomal RNA is filed under the name uncultured bacterium. RNAcentral describes it as "16S ribosomal RNA". It matches the Rfam family "Bacterial small subunit ribosomal RNA", at positions 28 to 1378 of the family's 1533-position model. The record is from RNAcentral.